RNAcentral lists this ribosomal RNA (253 nucleotides) under uncultured bacterium. Its description in RNAcentral is "partial 16S ribosomal RNA". It matches the Rfam family "Bacterial small subunit ribosomal RNA", at positions 524 to 776 of the family's 1533-position model. The record is from RNAcentral.
GACGGAGGUCCCUAGCGUUGUUCGGAAUCACUGGGCUUAAAGCGCGUGUAGGCGGGACGGUAAGUACUUUGUGAAAUCCCCGGUCUCAACCCGGGAAUGGCUUGGUAUACUAUCGUCCUUGAGGCAGGUAGGGGUCGCUGGAACCUUAGGUGGAGCGGUGAAAUGCGUAGAUAUCUAAGGGAACGCCUGUGGCGAAAGCGGGUGACUGGGCCUGUCCUGACGCUGAGACGCGAAAGCGUAGGGAGCAAACGGG